This 492-nucleotide ribosomal RNA is filed under the name uncultured bacterium. RNAcentral's name for it is "partial 16S ribosomal RNA". It matches the Rfam family "Bacterial small subunit ribosomal RNA", at positions 29 to 507 of the family's 1533-position model. The record is from RNAcentral.
AGUGAACGCUGGCGGUAGGCCUAACACAUGCAAGUCGAACGGCAGCACAGUAAGAGCUUGCUCUUACGGGUGGCGAGUGGCGGACGGGUGAGGAAUACAUCGGAAUCUACUUUUUCGUGGGGGAUAACGUAGGGAAACUUACGCUAAUACCGCAUACGACCUACGGGUGAAAGCAGGGGAUCUUCGGACCUUGCGCGAUUGAAUGAGCCGAUGUCGGAUUAGCUAGUUGGCGGGGUAAAGGCCCACCAAGGCGACGAUCCGUAGCUGGUCUGAGAGGAUGAUCAGCCACACUGGAACUGAGACACGGUCCAGACUCCUACGGGAGGCAGUAGUGGGGAAUAUUGGACAAAGGGCGCAAGCCUGAUCCAGCCAUACCGCGUGGGUGAAGAAGGCCUUCGGGUUGUAAAGCCCUUUUGUUGGGAAAGAAAAGCAGCAGGUUAAUACCCCGCCGUUCUGACGGUACCCAAAGAAUAAGCACCGGCUAACUUCGUG